GGUGACUGCGUACCUUUUGUAUAAUGGGUCAGCGACUUAUAUUCUGUAGCAAGGUUAACCGUAUAGGGGAGCCGCAGGGAAACCGAGUCUUAACUGGGCGUUAAGUUGCAGGGUAUAGACCCGAAACCCGGUGAUCUAGCCAUGGGCAGGUUGAAGGUUGGGUAACACUAACUGGAGGACCGAACCGACUAAUGUUGAAAAAUUAGCGGAUGACUUGUGGCUGGGGGUGAAAGGCCAAUCAAACCGGGAGAUAGCUGGUUCUCCCCGAAAGCUAUUUAGGUAGCGCCUCGUGAAUUCAUCUUCGGGGGUAGAGCACUGUUUCGGCUAGGGGGUCAUCCCGACUUACCAACCCGAUGCAAACUACGAAUACCGAAGAAUGUUAUCACGGGAGACACACGGCGGGUGCUAACGUCCGUCGUGAAGAGGGAAACAACCCAGACCGCCAGCUAAGGUCCCAAAGUCAUGGUUAAGUGGGAAACGAUGUGGGAAGGCCCAGACAGCCAGGAUGUUGGCUUAGAAGCAGCCAUCAUUUAAAGAAAGCGUAAUAGCUCACUGGUCGAGUCGGCCUGCGCGGAAGAUGUAACGGGGCUAAACCAUGCACCGAAGCUGCGGCAGCGACACUAUGUGUUGUUGGGUAGGGGAGCGUUCUGUAAGCCGUUGAAGGUGGCCUGUGAGGGUUGCUGGAGGUAUCAGAAGUGCGAAUGCUGACAUAAGUAACGAUAAUGCGGGUGAAAAACCCGCACGCCGGAAGACCAAGGGUUCCUGUCCAACGUUAAUCGGGGCAGGGUGAGUCGACCCCUAAGGCGAGGCCGAAAGGCGUAGUCGAUGGGAAACAGGUUAAUAUUCCUGUACUUGGUGUUACUGCGAAGGGGGGACGGAGAAGGCUAUGUUGGCCGGGCGACGGUUGUCCCGGUUUAAGCAUGUAGGCGGAUGUUCCAGGUAAAUCCGGAGCGUCACUAACGCUGAGGUGUGAUGACGAGGCACUACGGUGCUGAAGUGACAAAUGCCCUGCUUCCAGGAAAAGCCUCUAAGCAUCAGGUAACAUCAAAUCGUACCCCAAACCGACACAGGUGGUCAGGUAGAGAAUACCAAGGCGCUUGAGAGAACUCGGGUGAAGGAACUAGGCAAAAUGGUGCCGUAACUUCGGGAGAAGGCACGCUGAUGGUAGGUGAAGUGACUUGCUCAUGGAGCUGAAAUCAGUCGAAGAUACCAGCUGGCUGCAACUGUUUAUUAAAAACACAGCACUGUGCAAACACGAAAGUGGACGUAUACGGUGUGACGCCUGCCCGGUGCCGGAAGGUUAAUUGAUGGGGUUAUCCUCGCGGAGAAGCUCUUGAUCGAAGCCCCGGUAAACGGCGGCCGUAACUAUAACGGUCCUAAGGUAGCGAAAUUCCUUGUCGGGUAAGUUCCGACCUGCACGAAUGGCGUAAUGAUGGCCAGGCUGUCUCCACCCGAGACUCAGUGAAAUUGAACUCGCUGUGAAGAUGCAGUGUACCCGCGGCAAGACGGAAAGACCCCGUGAACCUUUACUAUAGCUUGACACUGAACACUGGUCCUUGAUGUGUAGGAUAGGUGGGAGGCUUUGAAGUGUGGACGCCAGUCUGCAUGGAGCCAUCCUUGAAAUACCACCCUUUAAUGGCUGGUGUUCUAACGUGGGCCCGUGAUCCGGGUUGCGGACAGUGUCUGGUGGGUAGUUUGACUGGGGCGGUCUCCUCCUAAAGAGUAACGGAGGAGCACGAAGGUCAGCUAAUCCUGGUCGGACAUCAGGAGGUUAGUGCAAUGGCAUAAGCUGGCUUGACUGCGAGCGUGACGGCGCGAGCAGGUGCGAAAGCAGGUCAUAGUGAUCCGGUGGUUCUGAAUGGAAGGGCCAUCGCUCAACGGAUAAAAGGUACUCCGGGGAUAACAGGCUGAUACCGCCCAAGAGUUCAUAUCGACGGCGGUGUUUGGCACCUCGAUGUCGGCUCAUCACAUCCUGGGGCUGAAGUAGGUCCCAAGGGUAUGGCUGUUCGCCAUUUAAAGUGGUACGCGAGCUGGGUUUAGAACGUCGUGAGACAGUUCGGUCCCUAUCUGCCGUGGGCGCUGGAGAAUUGAGGGGGGCUGCUCCUAGUACGAGAGGACCGGAGUGGACGCAUCACUGGUGUUCGGGUUGUCAUGCCAAUGGCAUUGCCCGGUAGCUAAAUGCGGAAGAGAUAAGUGCUGAAAGCAUCUAAGCACGAAACUUGCCCCGAGAUGAGUUCUCCCUGACUCCUUGA
This 2252-nucleotide ribosomal RNA is filed under the name Klebsiella oxytoca. RNAcentral describes it as "bacterial LSU rRNA". It matches the Rfam family "Bacterial large subunit ribosomal RNA", at positions 592 to 2826 of the family's 2925-position model. The record is from RNAcentral. Lineage: Bacteria; Pseudomonadati; Pseudomonadota; Gammaproteobacteria; Enterobacterales; Enterobacteriaceae.